CCCCCCUCCGCCCUGCCCCCCGCGGGCCACCGGGUCGGGGUCGCCACCGGGGCUCGGUCAGUCGGUACCUUCAUGAAGGUCUCUACCGCGCCUUUGGCCGUGUCCAGCCAUCAUCAAAGAAGCUUUCUCCAGCAGAAGAUGGGAGCUGUCACAGAGACCCACAACUGGAUGAUGUGCAGAGAGUGAGACACUUUGGAACACUCAGUGCUAAAUGGGGUGUCCUCAUCAAGUCCCUCACUUUAAGGCUCAGCGCUCUGUGCAGAAGAGGAAGUGGAAAAAUUGUAAGGACCAGAAGGGAUGGAUGAUACCAAGGAAACAGUGCCU
Long non-coding RNA from Myodes glareolus (Bank vole), 324 nucleotides. RefSeq lists it as uncharacterized. The record is from RefSeq and is a predicted model, not a curated record. NCBI's taxonomy places the organism in Eukaryota, Metazoa, Chordata, Mammalia, Rodentia, Cricetidae.